This 378-nucleotide ribosomal RNA is filed under the name uncultured bacterium. RNAcentral describes it as "bacterial SSU rRNA". It matches the Rfam family "Bacterial small subunit ribosomal RNA", at positions 30 to 409 of the family's 1533-position model. The record is from RNAcentral.
AUUGAACGCUGGCGGCAUGCCUUACACAUGCAAGUCGAACGGCAGCACGGGAGCAAUCCUGGUGGCGAGUGGCGAACGGGUGAGUAAUAUAUCGGAACGUGCCCAGUCGUGGGGGAUAACGUAGCGAAAGCUACGCUAAUACCGCAUACGAUCUAUGGAUGAAAGCGGGGGAUCGCAAGACCUCGCGCGAUUGGAGCGGCCGAUAUCAGAUUAGGUAGUUGGUGAGGUAAAGGCUCACCAAGCCGACGAUCUGUAGCUGGUCUGAGAGGACGACCAGCCACACUGGGACUGAGACACGGGCCCAGACUCCUACGGGAGGCAGCAGUGGGGAAUUUUGGACAAUGGCGCAAGCCUGAUCCAGCAAUGCGCGUGCAGGAU